RNAcentral lists this long non-coding RNA (2162 nucleotides) under Cimex lectularius (bed bug). RNAcentral's name for it is "uncharacterized LOC112128396". The record is from RNAcentral. Lineage: Eukaryota; Metazoa; Arthropoda; Insecta; Hemiptera; Cimicidae.
UUUCAUAAAAUAGGGUGCAGGUGUUUCUCAUCCCGUACAAUAUAAGAUUUUCAUUUGUACGUCUUCGGGCUUUUGGAUAAAUGAGAGCGCGCAUAUUCAUGAUGAAAGAUUCUUGACGCUAGAUACUGACUAAUUUACAUAACAAACAAAAUUAAAUUGUAUCCUACGAUAGUACAUCUGUCUACUAUAGUUCGUACGAAUGUGUCAUUUGCAUAGAAACUCAUAGACAGGUCAUCUAUGAACUCGUAGACGUAGUAAAGAUUAAAAAACGGACAUUCUGAAAAUGCAAUCACUGUUAGAAAGAAAACGUUAGUUACAUUCACGCUAUUAAAUACAGUCUCAAUGUGGUGACGAGGUAUCUAUUACUAUAUAUUGUAAAACAGUCCUGUGUUCUAUAAAAAUCGUAACAGAUGACCCUAGAUUCUCGCUACCGCGCUCAACGAUUCUCCUACCGGAUGGCAUUCCUACAAGCUCUCUAUAUGGAGCCAAGGAGUUGCAUCCUUCAAUUAGGCUUCACUUAGGCUUUAGAAAAGUUCGUGCGGGUUUAAAAGGUUUAAUAAUUGUCACACACAGUAGGAUAGACUCCUUUGGCACCUUCUCCCAACUCUAAGGCCAGUUGUGCCCUUCUUAUAAAAGUUUGGGUUCCGGUACUUUAAAAAAUAAGCUCACUUUCCAGCUGUCGGCGGUUAUCGAACUCCCGAUUGUGCAUAUGAUUGUCUAUCACUAAGGAAAGAUGAAAGUCAGAUGGGGCCUGGUGAAGGUACUACAGAAGUUAACGAGUGCAGAUUGCUUAUGGACCAGGGUAAGUACUCAUAGUUGGCUAGAGUAUAUUUCUGCGGUGAGGGUCUGGCAACGUGGCAGUUAACAGUGCACUGCCUGCUGUACUCCACCAAACACAAAGCAUAUCCUUUCCUUGAUGAAUAUUUGGAUUUUGCGACAGUGGUACAGGGUUAUUUAGUGACUACCAAUGGUGGCCUCCUGGUGUUACUAUACAAGAUCCAUUGUUCAUCGCAUGUGACAAUCCGAUCAAACAACAUUUCUACUUUGUACAGUGAAAGUAAUGAAAGGCAAAUGUUUAUACACAGUAGCUUGUUACAGUCGGUCAAUUUGCUCAACCCAUUUGCUCAGGUUCCAUGUAUUCCCAAGUGAAUGUGAGCUAGAGUGAAUUUCUGCAAUUCGUUCUCUCAGGUCUUCUUGGUACCCUAGGUGAGGUCGCCAUUGCGUGAAUGCUUCACAUCCAAAAAUAUGGGUGAUAGUUUCUUCCUCCUAAUUGCAUACAUACAAAUGGGGUCAUUAUUGAAUAUACCCAUGUUGAGUAGGUGGACUGCUCCAACGUUGUUUCUUCUAUGCCUUUGAUCUGUUUGGCUCGAAUCAAGUACCAUGGCUUACCUCAAUUUGUCGUCAUUCAAGACAGGUAUACCAGAACCAGAGAACUAAAAUAAUGACAAACAAUACAGAAAUAGAAUCAAAGUUGUUAGUACUGAGAUAGAAUACACAAGAUAAUUCAAGUAUCUCAACCUCAGCUUUAAAGACAAAAAUCUAAAAAUUAGAGAUAAGAUCGUAAAGCACUGAUUCUACUAACAUGCAUGCACUUGCCCAUUCAAGGCACAGGAUGAAUAGAUGAAAAGCUGGGAAUUACACAUGAAAAAAUGUCAAGGAGCAUUCUGGGUAUAAAGAAGAUAGACGAGGUCAGUGACGAGAAACUACCGGAAGCACAUGCAGCAAAUGAAACUGGGCAGGCCACAUAGCAUGAAUUAAUGACACAAGAUCAGCAAGAAUAAGCCAGUAAAGUAACCUUGUUGCAUUUUCCUAGAGCCUUUAGGCAAUUUAGGUUAUCCAGACUAGUUUUGAUUAGGGGUGUUGGUCAGUGAGUCGGUGAACUUUUAACAGACCUAAUUAGUGAUCCUAUACCAGUUCAGCAUGUUUUCCAGUCUAGUAUGGAGCUAACAGCUAAAUAUCACACCAAGAUGACAAAUAUUUUAAUAAUUAGAUAUAAAAGAUGCUUAUUUUAAAUUUUGUUAGAAAUACAGCAAGAAUGCACUUAUUUAUUUUUCUAAGCCUAUAGUCCCUCAUUCCACCCCAUAAUAGAUAUACAAAAUAUAUAACACAACUAACUUUGAUAUAUUUUUAACAAAUUGAACUUCUUAAAAAAUAAUAAAUAU